Mustela erminea (ermine) is the source of this 287-nucleotide long non-coding RNA. RefSeq lists it as uncharacterized. The transcript has 3 exons. Lineage: Eukaryota; Metazoa; Chordata; Mammalia; Carnivora; Mustelidae. The record is from RefSeq and is a predicted model, not a curated record.
CUGGCCUACACUGAGAAAAGCCACUGACCCCGAGAAGAAUGCGCUACUCCUAAAACCAUGCCCUCUUCCCACUGCAGGCAAUAAUGAUCUCAUGAUAGCCAGCCUCCUGAUUCCUGGACCAGAGCAUCAGGUUCAGUGUUUGUCACAGAAUAUGUUAUGUAACUGUGGGUCCUCAUCCUAUCAACUGGCGGUGUGUUUCUCCAAGUCUAUCACAAAAAGCCUUGAGGAUUAAUGAGAACCUGUUCUCCAGCUUCAUGCUCCUCAGAAAAGAUGACCUUGAUAUAGAA